UACGGGGGGGGCAAGCGUUGUUCGGAAUUACUGGGCGUAAAGGGCUCGUAGGUGGCCAACUAAGUCGGACGUGAAAUCCCUCAGCUUAACUGGGGAACUGCGUCCGAUACUGGAUGGCUUGAGUUCGGGAGAGGGAUGCGGAAUUCCAGGUGUAGCGGUGAAAUGCGUAGAUAUCUGGAGGAAUACCGGUGGCGAAGGCGGCAUCCUGGACCAUUACUGACGCUGAAUCGCGAAAGCUAGGGGAGCAAACGGG
Molecule: ribosomal RNA, 253 nt
Filed under: uncultured bacterium
Lineage: Bacteria
Description: partial 16S ribosomal RNA
Rfam family: Bacterial small subunit ribosomal RNA
Source: RNAcentral